UACGGAGGGUGCAAGCGUUGCUCGGAAUUAUUGGGCGUAAAGGGUAGGUAGGUGGUCUUAUUUGUCUGAGGUGAAAUCCUUGGGCUUAACCCAAGAAGUGCCUCAGAAACGGUAAGACUAGAGUCCUGGAGAGGGUCGUGGAAUUCCCGGUGUAGCGGUGAAAUGCGUAGAGAUCGGGAGGAACACCAGAGGCGAAAGCGGCGACCUAGACAGGAACUGACACUCAACUACGAAAGCGUGGGGAGCAAACAGG
Molecule: ribosomal RNA, 253 nt
Filed under: uncultured bacterium
Lineage: Bacteria
Description: partial 16S ribosomal RNA
Rfam family: Bacterial small subunit ribosomal RNA
Source: RNAcentral